AGUGUAUGUGGUGGAUGCCUUGGCGAUUACAGGCGAUGAAGGACGUCGCAGCCUGCGAAAAGCCGUGGGGAGCUGGCAAGCGAGCACUGAUCCACGGAUGUCCGAAUGAGGGAACUCACCCGCAAGGGUAUCUUGAAGUGAAUACAUAGCUUCAAGAGGCGAACGCAGCGAACUGAAACAUCUAAGUAGCUGCAGGAAAAGAAAUCAACCGAGAUUCUGAAAGUAGCGGCGAGCGAAAUUGGAAGAGCCUGCAAGUGAUAUUGAAUUCGAUACUGGAACGGUCUGGAAAGUCCGGCUACAGAGGGUGAUAGCCCCGUACGGGAAAUUGGGUUCAAGGUACUGAGCUUGCGAGAAGUAGAGCGGGACACGUGAAAUCCUGCUCGAAGAUGGGGGGACCAUCCUCCAAGGCUAAAUACUCGUAAUCGACCGAUAGCGAACCAGUACUGUGAAGGAAAGGCGAAAAGAACCCCGGGAGGGGAGUGAAAUAGAUCCUGAAACCGCAUACAUACAAACAGUAGGAGCCCGCAAGGGUGACUGCGUACCUUUUGCAUAAUGGGUCAGCGACUUACGUUCAAUGGCAAGCUUAACCGAGUAGGGGAGGCGCAGCGAAAGCGAGUCCGAACAGGGCGACAUGAGUCGUUGGGCGUAGACCCGAAACCAGAUGAUCUAUCCAUGGCCAGGCUGAAGGUGUGGUAACACACACUGGAGGGCCGAACCGACUAGUGUUGCAAAAUUAGCGGAUGAGCUGUGGAUAGGGGUGAAAGGCUAAACAAAUCUGGAGAUAGCUGGUUCUCCCCGAAAACUAUUGAGGUAGUGCCUCGUGUAUGGCUCCAGGGGGUAGAGCACUGUUAUGGCUAGGGGGACAUGGCGUCUUACCAAACCAUGGCAAACUCCGAAUACUUGGAAGUCUGAGCACGGGAGACAGAGCACCGGGUGCUAACGUCCGGACUCAAAAGGGAAACAACCCAGACCGCCGGCUAAGGUCCCUAAUAUUGACUAAGUGGAAAACGAAGUGGGAAGGCUAAGACAGUCAGGAAGUUGGCUUAGAAGCAGCCAUCCUUCAAAGAAAGCGUAAUAGCUCACUGAUCGAGUCUUCCUGCGCGGAAGAUGUAACGGGGCUAAGUCAAUAACCGAAGCCGCGGAUUCGCAGCAAUGCGAGUGGUAGGGGAGCGUUCUGUAAGCCUGCGAAGGCGGAUCCGCGAGGACCGCUGGAGGUAUCAGAAGUGCGAAUGCUGACAUGAGUAACGUUAAAGCGGGUGAAAAGCCCGCUCGCCGCAAGCCCAAGGUUUCCUGCUCUACGUUCAUCGGAGCAGGGUGAGUCGGCCCCUAAGGUCAGGCUGAGAAGCGUAGCUGAUGGGAAGCUGGUUAAUAUUCCAGCACCGAUUUCAAGUGCGAAGGGGGGACGGAGUCCUGAAGGUCAUCCGGGUGUUGGAUAUCCCGGUUUACGAGCGUAGGAGGUUGACAGGCAAAUCCGUCAACGAAUCUCCAAGGCGAAGGAUCGAGGUUGAGAGAUCAACUGAAGUGACUGAAUGGGCUUCCAGGAAAAGCCUCUAAGCAUCAGCUUGGAAUUGACCGUACCGCAAACCGACACUGGUGGGCGAGCUGAAUAUGCUCAGGCGCUUGAGAGAACUCAGGAGAAGGAACUCGGCAAAUUGACACCGUAACUUCGGGAUAAGGUGUGCCUUUGUAGUGUGAAGAGAGAAACACUCCGAGCAUGAAGAGGCCUCAGAGAAUCGGUGGCUGCAACUGUUUACUAAAAACACAGCACUCUGCAAAGAUGAAAGUCGACGUAUAGGGUGUGAUGCCUGCCCGGUGCUGGAAGAUUAAUUGAUGGGGUGCAAGCUCCUGAUCGAAGUCCCAGUAAACGGCGGCCGUAACUAUAACGGUCCUAAGGUAGCGAAAUUCCUUGUCGGGGAAGUUCCGACCUGCACGAAUGGUGUAAUGAUCUGGACACUGUCUCAACCGUGAGCUCGGUGAAAUUGUAGUAUCGG
Molecule: ribosomal RNA, 1991 nt
Filed under: human gut metagenome
Description: bacterial LSU rRNA
Rfam family: Bacterial large subunit ribosomal RNA
Source: RNAcentral